Molecule: long non-coding RNA, 330 nt
Organism: Schistocerca serialis cubense
Lineage: Eukaryota; Metazoa; Arthropoda; Insecta; Orthoptera; Acrididae
Exons: 3
Source: RefSeq, a predicted model, not a curated record
UGACUCGCGGCGUAGCUGUAUUAGUGCUCCUCUGCCUUCUGGGAGCUUUCCAUGACAGAGGUUAUCUGGGGAUGUCCGCUUCCGGAGAAAUUCGACUUGUAGAGAUGGUGUCGAUGCCGGACCGCUGCAGAGAGGGAUACGUCGAGGUCCGUGACGGUGAAUGCAGAAGAAUCGAUUUCCACUGGUAUUGGUUUCUAUAUCAACUCAUAAAGGACUGAUCAAACAGGACGAGAACUGGCGGAAUGUUAAGUCAACGUACAUGAGAACCACUAAAUGGCUACCGCGUUAGUAAUAUAAUAUCAAAAAAUUGUUAUUUAUUUAGUUUCUAAC